UACGGGGGGAGCAAGCGUUGUUCGGAUUUACUGGGCGUAAAGGGCGCGUAGGCGGUGCAACAAGUCACUUGUGAAAUCUCCGGGCUUAACCCGGAGCGGCCAAGUGAUACUGUCGUGCUAGAGUGCGGAAGGGGCUACUGGAAUUCUCGGUGUAGCGGUGAAAUGCGUAGAUAUCGAGAGGACCACCUGCGGCGAAGGCGGGUAGCUGGGCCGACACUGACGCUGAGGCGCGAAAGCCAGGGGAGCGAACGGG
This 253-nucleotide ribosomal RNA is filed under the name uncultured bacterium. RNAcentral's name for it is "partial 16S ribosomal RNA". It matches the Rfam family "Bacterial small subunit ribosomal RNA", at positions 524 to 776 of the family's 1533-position model. The record is from RNAcentral.